Molecule: long non-coding RNA, 7877 nt
Filed under: Daucus carota (carrot)
Lineage: Eukaryota; Viridiplantae; Streptophyta; Magnoliopsida; Apiales; Apiaceae
Description: long non-coding RNA (DCAR_LNC005728)
Source: RNAcentral
AUCCUUUGCUCGCAAAUUCGCCUAUAAAAGGAAUGUUCUUCCAACUGCUUCGACACAAACAGCAACCACUGAUAAUUCACUCUGAAAACACAAAAUCUUUAACAUGGAGAGCAAGAAGAGCGCUUUGAUGCUACUACUAGCCCUGUUUGUCAUCUCUGCUAUGAUAGCGGCACCAGUGGCCGAAGCCCGAGAGCUCACCUCUACACAUGCUGAUGACAAGAACCUCAGCAACAUUCUUCUGGCCUAUGGCCGCGAUCAACUGUUCAAAUAUGCAUUCCAGCUCGAGGGCGCUUCGACAGCUAACUGCAUUGGCUAUUACUGCCUCUACACCAGCUGUUGCUCCGGCUGUCAAUGCGUUACUUCGUAUGAUGAGGUGCCGAUCCCUGCUUAUUGUGAGACUUCCUGCAAGGCCAGCACCUGAAGUGCUAGCUAGCAUUUGCUGGGAUUUGCAUGCAUGCAAAACGAAUAAUUGAAUAAAGUAGAUCGCGUUUAUUAUGUGUGAACGUACGUGUAUGCUAAUGUUACAGUCGAUCUGGCUGUGUGUAUCCCUUUUAUUCCGUUCAAUCUCAGUUUACCUCUCUGUGUUUGGUUUAAUUUUGUUUCCCCAGUUAAUUUGAUCGACCUGAACGCACGAAUUCAUUUGAUUUUAAUUAUCUAUAAGGUUGAUAUCAGCGAUGAUGAUAAUAAUACAAUAAGUUUUUUUCUUUUUUGUUAAAAAGAAAUCAAUCCAUUAAUCAAAAGCCACACGGCAUCGAAAAAUAUAAUCGAAAUCGGACAGACACGCUGAAUUAUAUCGCUGUUGAAUCCAACCUUCUUGGGGAGACAACUAAACGAUUUAAAUAUAUGUACUCGUUUUCAUCUGAUUGGUUUUCACCCGAUUGGCUUUCACCUGACUCUUUUGAACAAUCGACUAUAGAUGCGAUUUCAUAAUAACCUUCAAACCUGAAUCAAACCCAUAUAAAUCAUGCCGAUCUAUAACCUCGGUCAUGGAGAAUAUCAAAACUGACAAAACACACCAAAACAAAAACCAACUCUCACAAGAAAGAAGGAGAGACUAACAAAACUCAAAUAAAUUGAGAACUUAUUGAGAGGAAAACAAGAUUUCAAAUAAGAAACGGAAAAAAAAUCGGGGCUUUCCACUGACGAAAACCGAUGAAAACCCUCUUAAAAAACUUUAAUGGAGGCUAGGGGUCUGAGAGGGAGAGAGAGGGAGAGUAAUACAAUAAGUUAAUGAUUUACUCCGUUCAACUCUAUGGACUCUAUGAAAAUCAUUAUUUAAAUAAAAAUCUUGAAAAAGCAUAUAUGCAUGUUUGUGUAAGUAAUACAUUAUUGCAAAGCAUCAAUUGGACAUUUUGCAAAAUGUAUAAAAAGUUUAAAUUUUUUACCGAAAUAGCACUAUUCAUAUACUCUUUCCGUCCCAUUUUAGUUGUCACAUUUGGUUUUGUGCCGGUCAAAUUGACCAAAGUUUGAUUUAAAUUUAUUAAUAUUUUAUCAAUUGAAAAAAUGAAAAAAAAUAUGUUAUCGAAAAUUAUUUUUAAUCUACUUUAAGAUGUAAUUUUCAGUUUUUUAAAAUAAUGAAGGAGUGACUUGUAAUCUUCGGUCAAAAAUUAGUCAAUUUGACCAACAAAAAAGGAAAUGUGACAACAAAAAUGGGACGGAGGGAGUAACAUAUUUUGCAAAAUUACGAUAACAAAAUCAAUAUACUUAUAUAAAGGAGAAGCAUGGGGCGUGGCGCCUCUCUAAUUGCUCCGUCCUAUUUUUCUAUUUUUCUAGAAAUUUUUGGAUGAAAAAUAUCAUAAAUAAAAACUAAAUCAUGACAUAAAUUAAUCUGAUUCUAUUUCAUAUUAUUUAUGGAAUAUAGCAGCUUGCAAGUUUUUUAAUCUGAUUCUGUUUCAGAUUAUUUGGUAGAAAUUAAUCUGAUUCUGUUUUAGAUUAUUUAUGUAAUAUAGUAACUUGCAAGUUUUUUAAUCUGAUUAUGUUUCAGAUUAUUUAAUUAUGGAAAAUCAUCGAUCAUCAAUCAUCAAUAUAAUUAUAUAAAGGAGAACCAUGUGGCCAUGUGGCGUGUGGGUGGCGUCUCUCUAAUUGCUCCGUCCUAUUUUUCUAAUUUUCUAAUUUUCUGAAAUUUUUAAAUGAAAACUAUCAAAAAUAAAAAGUAUAUUUUGACUUAAAUUAAUCUGAUUUUGUUUCAGAUUAUUUAUGAAAUAUAGUAGCUUGCAAGUUUUUUAAUCUGAUUCUGUUUCAGAUUAUUUGGCAUAAAUUAAUCUGAUUCCGUUUUAGAUUAUUUAUGUAAUAUAGUAGCUUGCAAGUUUUUUUAAUCUGAUUCUGUUUUAGAUUAUUUAAUUAUUUAAUUAUGGAAAAUAGUAGCACACAAGUCUCUCUGCACCUAUAAAUACCCCUAUAGGUUGUAGGGUUUUAGAUCAUCUAAACACAACAUACUCUCUCUUUCUAUACCACGAUCCCCCGUUUUAUCCUAGGAAGCUAUCGUUCUACACAUACGGUGAGGAGGCGAAUAUGAUUUAUAAACAAUUUUUCUUUGCCUAUUUAUCUUCUCCAUCUAAUACAAUAAUGAGUUACACUAUGAUAGAUGUUUGAAUGGCGAUAGAGAUGAUUGAUUGACGAGAGUAAGAGCUUGUCAGAUGUGGUAGUAGACUGCUAUCUCAUGAAUUUAAAUUGAUGUUUUUGCGGAUAACUAAUCCAAAAAAAUUGGAGGAAGGAGUCACUAAGAUACACCUGCAUAGAUUGGAAUUCAAACGUCCCGACAUGAUUAAUGUUCCUAUAACUUGGACAUAAUGUUCAUCCCUAUUAAAACUGGAGAUGGUUUCGGAGUUGCAUCUCAAUAUCUUUUUGACUUUUACGCACUUAUGUUCUUGGAAGCUUACUGCAUGUUUUAUUGGUCAAUCAAUGUAUAUGGCUACAUGUCAUCAAUCAAUCUAUUAAAGAGCCGUAUGCUUUUUACAUGUAGGGCAUGUUGUAACAAUUUUAGCGAAAUACAUGACUACUUUAAAAAAACAUACAACUAAAAUUAACAUUCGUUAUGCUUUAAAUCGUUAAUUAUAUGUAAAAAAUUAUUUUCAUUUUUUCACUCAUGAAUUAUAGUCCAAUUUUUUAAUUUUAUAUAUUAAUAUUAGUAUUGUAUCGAGAUGUUUAUAAUAUAAAAUUUAUUUUAUUCUACAAAUAUUAAUUUUAAAUCAUUAAUAUAAUUUUUAUAGAUUUCCACAUAUUUAUUUAUCUUACAAAUACUAAUUUUGAAUCGUUAAUAUAAUUUUUAUAGACCGCCGCAACGCGCGAUUUUUCAACCAGGUAUAAACUAAUUUGCAAUAUUUUGAGCACAGAACAUUUAAAUAUCCGAGGUCUUCGACAAAAAGAGGCCUCCGUAUACUUUACUCAACCGACUCUCUAGUAUUAUUAAUCGGGUUUUAGAUGGCAAAAUCAUCGAUAUACUUAUAUAAAGGAGAAGCGAGGGGCGUGUAGGUGGCGCCUCUCAUAUCGCUCCGUUCUAAUUUUUUAAUUUUCUGGAAUUUUUGGAUGAAAAUAUCAAAAAUAUAGAACUACUUUUUUUAGUUUCGGGUAUAUUAGAAGCAAGUUUCAGAAUCUGAUUUUGUUUCAGAUUAUUUAUGGAAUAUAUUAGCUUGAAAGUUUUAAUCUGAUUUUGUUUCAGAUUAUUUAAUUAUGGGAAAGAGUAGCACACAAGUCUCUCUACACCUAUAAAUACCCUAUAGAUUGUAGGGUUUUGGAUCACCUAAACACAACCUCCUCUUUCUCAAUACCACAUCGCUCCGUUCUAUUUUUCUAAUUUUCAGGAAUUUUUGGAUGAAAAAUAUCAAAAAUUAGAACUACCUUUUUAAGUUUCGGGUAUAUUAGAAACAAGUUUCAGAAUCUGAUUUUGUUUCAGAUUAUUUAUGGAAUAUAGUAGCUUGAAAGUUUUGAUCUGAUUUUGUUUCAGAUUAUUUAGUUAUAGAAAAGAGUAGCACACAAGUCUCUCUGCACCUAUAAAUACCCCUAUAGAUUGUAGGGUUUUGGAUCAUCUAAACACAACCUCCUCUCUAUCAAUACCACAAUCCUACCUCUCCCUGAUGAUAGUUCUCUUGCUCGAUGUCUAACUUGGUGGUGCCGUUUCUUCCGCAACGAUAAGUGAAGGCUGUUUAUACAGUAUUAAAAAAAUAAAGGUUGUUGCAAGCAAAUGUAGUUAUAGACCGCUAUGUUGGAGUCGGCAAAUCCAAACACGGGAAAAAAAUAUAGUCUUGACAUGAUAUUGAUUGAUGAUAUCAAUAAAUUAAUUGUUAGUGAUGUAUGUUUGUUGGUUAUUAUUUUAUAAUAUUUGUUUUGUUCUUCAGACAUGUUUGUUGUUUUUAAUUUUUAUAUAAUUUACUUUGUAUAUUAUAGGAAAAAAAUUAUUAUGCAUUAUCUAUUUGCUCUGUUCAAGCAACUUUUAAGUGAAGACUGUUUAUACAGUAUUAAUAUAUAAAAGUUGUUACAAGUAAGGGUAGUUAUAGACCGCUAUCUCACAGAUUUAAGUUAGAUAUUUUUGUGUACAAUCAAUCAAAAAAAAUUGGAGUAAGGUGACAAUGUAAGAACAUGAUUACUUUUAUAAAACAAACACAAAUGAAAUUAAGAUUCAUCGUGCUUUAAAUUGUUAAUUACGUGUAUAAAUUUAUUUUCAUUUUUUCACCAUGAAUCAUAGUCCAAUUUUACAAUUUUAUAUAUUAGUAUUGGUAUUACAUCACGAUUUUAUAAUAUAAAAUUUAUUUUAUCCUACGAAUAUUAAUUUUAAAACAUUAAUAUACUUUUUAUAGAUAGUCACAAAAUUAUUUUAUUCUAAAAAUAUUAAUAUUAAAUUAUUAUUAUAAUUUUUAUAGACCGCCGCAACGCGCGGCUUCUCAACUAGUAUGAUUAUAUAAAUAAAACAAGUCAAAAUGUGGUUCAGUCAUCAGUGUGGCUCUUUCACGUUUCUAACCACUUUGAACAUCUAUUUUUCAAAAUUAACCACCUGUUUUUGCACUUUGCAGAAAUGACCACCUAUAUCCGGUCUCUCGGACGGAUACUACUAGCAUUUCUGUCCGACCCUCACCUGGGCGGACAAAACUGUCUCUUUUCUUUUCAAUAUAGUUAUUUAGAAGUCUUGUAAUUUUAUGUGAAAAUAAUAUUAUAUAAUAUAUUAUUAUAACAAAUAAUGUUAUAUCUAAAUAAUAUUAUAUAAUAUCAAAUGAUAUUAUAUAAAAUUAGUAUUAUACAAUAUCAAAUAAUAUUAUAUUAUAAUAUUAUAUUGUAACAAAUAAUUAUAUUAUUUUCUCAAAAUAUAUUAUUGUAUUAUUAUUUUGAGGUAUUAUAUUAUAAUAUAAUAUCAUUUGAUAUAUUACAUUAUAUUAUUUGAUAUAAUAUUAAAUUAUUUGAGAUAUUAUUAUUUUUCUAUUUUUUAUUGUUCGAUCAAAAAAUAAAGAAUAACUAUAUUUUUUAUUUUUUAUGUUUAUUAUAUUAUUAUAUAAUAUUAUUAAAAUUAAAAAGAUAUUAUAUAAUCCUGGAACCCUGAAAUUCUUAAAAUUAUGGUAUCAAAAGUGAAUAAAAAAAUAUGAUACAAGGUCACAAUUAACAUUGUGUUUAUAAAUAUUAUUCAGUAAACAUUAUUAUAAUAUAUAUAAUAUAGCGAUAAUACCUUGUACUCGAUUUUGUAGUCGCCAAUUUGAGAAUAUACACCUUAACUUCGGUUAUACCAGAAGAUCGAGUGGGUAUAGCAAAAGGUCCAGAUGAUUUCAGAGAGGUUAUUUUAUGAUUUUAAUAAAAAUCUAUUAAAAUAUUUGAAAGUCAUGAAUUUAUGAUAAAAAGUCUGUUAAAGUUUUUAAAAAUUAUUGCCUUAGGAGUCAGGAAAUUUUUUUUGAAAUUUUAAGAAGCCAAUAAGAGUCAUUAAAAGUCUAUAAAAUCCAUUAAAGUCAUCCUCGCAAAAUUUGUCAUUAAGUCAUGAUACAAUACCACCCCUAAGUUUAUGCGUCAGUUAAGGACAAAACCGACACUAGAAAUGGUUUUAAGCGACGGUUUUUAAUAUAAGCGACGCUAAAGAGCCGUUGCAAAAGGCAUUUUCCUUAUUAGUGGGAUCAAUAGGUUUAGCUUAUUGAGAGCAUCUCCAACGGUGUUGGCUAAAAAGUGGUUGGCUAAAUUGGAUCGGUAAGAUAUUAGAUAAAAUUUGUCGAAGAUGUAAGCCAUUUUGCUUCGACGGUACUGGCUAUAUUUCAGAAAUAGUUAGUUAUUAUUAUUUCAAAUUGUUAUAAAUAGAAUGUAUAUUAUAAUAUGGUAAUAAAUAAUACAAAAUCUUGCUACAGAUAUUGCUACAGGUCUGUAGUUGAUUGCCAAAUAUGGCCAAUAUCAAUUGGUUGGAUAUAUUUUUAGACAAGGGUUAUGUGUCGCGGAGUGAAGCAAAUUUCACACAUUAUCUAUAAUUUUUAUUUAUGAUAUAAUUUAAUGAAUUUUAGUUAAGGGUUUUGAUGGGUUGAAAAUACUCUCGGAGCUAUAUAUCAAGAACCCUAAUACUCCACGUGUAUGAAUUGCAUUGUCAUAAUCUAUAUACUUACAUGCAAAAUCGUGUUGUUGUAACGGAGCAUAUAACUUUUGAUUAAAUUUUCUUCCGAAGAUGUUGAAAUACCUAUUAUUCAAAGAAAGACUAAUGAAACAGAUGAAAAUAUGAUAAUCAAAAGUAAAGCUUGAGUUUGAAAUAGAAGAAGAUGCCUAUAUAUAGGUUUUACAAAGCAUAUGCUGGAAAAGAUGGAUUAGGUAUAUAAAGAGUAAAAUGCAUAAGGAUAAUUCUGGAGAAAUUUUAGAUAGACUAUUUGUAUGUGCUUGUGAAGAAAGGCGUGUGACUGAUAAACGAGAUGAUAAUGUAAAACAACACCUUCCAUAAACUAGAUUGGUUGCAAGGCAAAUUAAAUUGGUGUCUCUUCUGGAUCAAAUGGGAAAUACAAAUUAUUGAAUUCAUAUCUGAGAAUUGCGGCAUUAAACCGCUGUGCUACAUAAACGUGAUCAAAAGAAAGGGGAAAUUAGUAUAUGGACCCUUGCUCAUAGUACGUCUGGUUGUUGGCUCAUUACUCCAUCACUUUUAGUGCACUACCUGUUUUUCCUAAUACUAAGCCGCUGACAUUAAAUUCCCAUGCAAAUUUGAGAAUCCUUUGCUCACACAUUCGCCUAUAGAAGGAAUGUUCUUCCAACUGCUUUGACACAAAUAUCCACCACUGAUAAUCCACUGCGAAAACACAUAAUCCAUAACAUGGAGAGCAAGAAGAGCGCCUUGAUGCUACUACUAGCCCUGUUUGUCAUCUCUGCUAUGAUAGCGGCACCAGUGGCCGAAGCCCGAGAGCUCACCUCUACACAUGCUGAUGACAAGAACCUCAGCAACAUUCUUCUGGCCUAUGGCCGCGACCAACUGUUCAAAAAUGCAUUCCAGCUCGAGGGCCUUUCGACAAGCUGCAUUGGCUAUUUCUGCCUCUACACCAGCUGUUGCGCGGGCUGUCAAUGCGUUACUUCGUAUGCUGAUGUGCCCAUCCCUGCUUAUUGUGAGACUUCCUGCAAGGACAGCACCUGAAGUGCUAGCUAGCAUUUGCUGGGAUUUGCAUGCAUGCAAAACGAAUAAUUGUAAUUGAAUAAAUAGAUCGCGUGUGUUAUGUGUGCACGUACGUGCAUGAUAAUGUGACAGUCGAUCUGGCUGCUGUGUGUAUCUCGCAUUCGUUUACGCGAAUGCAGGGCGUUUCCCUUAAUUUUAUUCCGUUCAAUCCCAGUUAAUCUCUCUGUGUUUGGUUUAAUUUGGUUUCAGCAGUUAAUUUUCGUGGACAUAACUUCUAAUUUCUUGAUUAUGUUGUAUGACUUCGUUUAUAAAUUGAUUAUAUUUUGUUUAUAAU